UUUAUAAGAUUUGCCAAACUAACGAUACGCGCUGAAGCCACAUUUGUAAAAAGUAUUCAAAUACGACGUUAUUUUAUAACCUACCAGCUGGUUGCUGAAGCGAGCAAAACUCUCAUAGAAAGAAGACUAAAAGGAAAACACCCACUCACUGAAGAAAUAAAAUAGUCAAACUCGAAGAUGGUACCCCGCUGGGGGUAGCCAUCCACAUGUUAUUUAGCAAUUAAGCUAGAAAAAUUUAUCAAAU
This 244-nucleotide unclassified non-coding RNA is filed under the name Bombus terrestris (buff-tailed bumblebee). RNAcentral describes it as "misc RNA ENSBTSG00005037868.1". Lineage: Eukaryota; Metazoa; Arthropoda; Insecta; Hymenoptera; Apidae. The record is from RNAcentral.